Long non-coding RNA from Camelus dromedarius (Arabian camel), 1404 nucleotides. RefSeq lists it as uncharacterized. Lineage: Eukaryota; Metazoa; Chordata; Mammalia; Artiodactyla; Camelidae. The record is from RefSeq and is a predicted model, not a curated record. The transcript is spliced from 4 exons.
GCCUGAGAAAGGGCUCGAACCCGGCAGCGGGAGCAGGAGGGUUGACCCCGCCGCUGCGGGGCGCUCUGCCCUGGAGGCCCGCGGCGGGACUUUGAAUCUUCGAGUAGAAACAGACUCUUCCUUUUAGUAAGAAUGAAAAAAAGGAAAGAAAAAAGAAAAAAAAAGCAAUUUAAACUAACUGGUAUACGUGGAGGUGCCAACAAGAAAGACAAAUCUCAGUGGGUGACAUGCUUUCUUACAUGAAAGGCUACCUGUGAAUCAGUGCAAUAUUAAAGGAAGACAGAAAAGAAAGUCAAGAUGGGACAGAUGAAACAACCUUUGGACCUCUGUAUUCAGUGAGGAACCCAAUUCUACAUCAGGUGCUGCCAUCUACUUGAAUGAUAUGAUCAUCUACAAUAGAGGUUGGCAAAAGAUAGCUUGCAAGUCAAAUAUGGCCUGCUACCUAUUUUUUAUAAAUAAAAAAUUUCAACCUUUGGUUUAUGAAGAUACCAGUUGCUGAACCAUUGAAAAUAAGUAAGGUAUUUUAGAGGUUCUUUAUUCUGUUGAUCUGUGUUCUGCUUCACCUCUCAAAUCACUACUCAUGCAUGCUCAGAGAUGGGCCAACUGAAAAUACAGCUUGCAAAGCUCCUAGCCCUAUUAAAUCAUGAAAGCCCAUAUCCAUGAUAAAAUUAACCUCACUAUUGGAUAAUAACCAUGAGUAUAAAACUUUUUAAUCAUCUUUGUUUUAUGGUGCUCUGCCAAGCACUAGUCCUAUUUCUGUUUAUUCCUGCUUUAAAGUAGUUCCCAGUCUAAGACACUUAAUACUAAGACAGUUUCAUGUUACAGUCUAAAUGAAAUUAAUAUUUAAAUUGCUAAUAAUGAAAGAAGAAAUCCGAAUUUGUUUUUAGAUAUCUUGGUAUCUAUUUGCCCUGAAAAUUUUGAGGAAAAUUACAAAUAGCAAAACUUUAAGAAAGAAUUAUAAUGAAACUUACUUACCAGGAAGUUGUGUCAGAGAGCUUGCUUUAAAAAUCAUCCUAUUUAAUUUUGGCAGUAAAUAGUGGGCAAAUAUUGUAGACAUUCUUAUUAGCUGCAAGUCAAGCUUAAUUAAGGAAACAAAAUACUGAAUUGCAAAGGCAAACAGAAUUGAUGCCUAAUAUUUUUUGCUCUGAGUUUAGUAUACUAGCUGGCUUAAACUCUGGGUGACAUACACAAUUAAAACCAAAUAAAAGACUUGACAAUUUGCUUAUCUGGACUCUUGCUCCUUUUUAUGUUGCCAAAAUUACCACCUUGCCAUCAUCUCUGCAAAAUAAAUCAAACAGAAGUUCCUGUUGAUAUAAUGAAUAUUUUACUUUUUUUCAGGUGAGAUCAUUUCUGUAUCUUUUGUAAGUAUAAGGUAAAUUAAUGAAGCAAAUCACUUAAAAUGGU